Molecule: long non-coding RNA, 852 nt
Filed under: Monodelphis domestica (gray short-tailed opossum)
Lineage: Eukaryota; Metazoa; Chordata; Mammalia; Didelphimorphia; Didelphidae
Description: lncRNA (ENSMODG00000027532.2)
Source: RNAcentral
CAAUGACCAAUACAGAAGUGUAUUUUGAAAAAGAAAGGAAAGAAAGAUUUGCAAAGAAAGCACUUUAGAAAUAUCAUGUAAUUGUUAUCCUCACUUUAAAGAAGAGUGUGAGAUUCUUAGGAGUCAGGCACUGAAUGAGGACAAGCACAAAAACUGGCCUAAUUAUUACUAUUUUUUUAUUUUCCGCGGCAAUCUUAUGACUACAGGUGUAGCCCCACCCCUCACAUGAAAGCCCCGCCCCUCCAGUAUAACUCCGCCCCUCCAUGUGAAGUCCUGCCCACAUAGUGGCAUCCCGCCCUCUUUGCUUAGCCACGUCCCUCUCGAUGCUCCUUAGCCCACUCUCUUCCAAGUUUUACUGGCCCCACUAGGUGGGCUACCCAUGGCUCCAUCUCGGCAGCAUUGCGCCUGCGCCAGAGACCCGUCUCGGCGGUUGCUGACAGUUGACUAGGGUUUGGGUAUCUGGUGCCACCGCUGCUGGAGGGCUCGGAACCACCAUGACCAUCACGUACAGCUGCAUUGCUAAUGGCCGGGUGAUCCUGGCCGAGCUGGCCCUGACCGGAGGCUCCUAUCAGGAGGCAGCAUCAUCAGUGCUAAAACUAGUUCUUCUAAAAGCUGAGAAAAAAACCACAGCACGUAUUGGAAGCUAUGUCUACCAUACUCUCUUAAUUGAUGGAAUCACUUACUUGUGUGCCACAGACAAUCCCCUGGAUAACACUUUACCAUCUGCAUUUCUUGAAGAGGACCUUGAAAAAACUUCCAAUAUAAAGUGCCUGCAUUAUUCACGAGUUAAGAGAAAGUUGUAAUUUAAAAGGAGAAAAUAAAAUGGGUGUUUCCUCAUUCUGAGUUACCCUU